GCCUUAUAUUCAAAUAUAAUGAUAUAAAAUUGCAAAUUUUAAGGUAUAAUUUCAUAUUAUUAAGGCUU
Molecule: transfer RNA, 68 nt
Filed under: Palpita hypohomalia
Lineage: Eukaryota; Metazoa; Arthropoda; Insecta; Lepidoptera; Crambidae
Description: tRNA-Cys
Source: RNAcentral